AUUGAACGCUGGCGGAAUGCUUUACACAUGCAAGUCGAACGGCAGCACGGGGGCAACCCUGGUGGCGAGUGGCGAACGGGUGAGUAAUACAUCGGAACGUGCCCGGUCGUGGGGGAUAACGUAGCGAAAGUUACGCUAAUACCGCAUACGAUCUGAGGAUGAAAGCAGGGGACCUUCGGGCCUCGCGCGAUCGGAGCGGCCGAUGUCAGAUUAGGUAGUUGGUGGGGUAAAGGCCUACCAAGCCGACGAUCUGUAGCUGGUCUGAGAGGACGACCAGCCACACUGGGACUGAGACACGGCCCAGACUCCUACGGGAGGCAGCAGUGGGGAAUUUUGGACAAUGGGCGCAAGCCUGAUCCAGCCAUUCCGCGUGCAGGACGAAGGCCUUCGGGUUGUAAACUGCUUUUGUAUGGAACGAAAAGGCUCUGGCUAAUACCUGGGGCUCAUGACGGUACCGGAAGAAUAAGCACCGGCUAACUACGUG
RNAcentral lists this ribosomal RNA (484 nucleotides) under uncultured bacterium. RNAcentral describes it as "partial 16S ribosomal RNA". It matches the Rfam family "Bacterial small subunit ribosomal RNA", at positions 30 to 507 of the family's 1533-position model. The record is from RNAcentral.